Molecule: transfer RNA, 92 nt
Filed under: Aspergillus nidulans FGSC A4
Lineage: Eukaryota; Fungi; Ascomycota; Eurotiomycetes; Eurotiales; Aspergillaceae
Description: tRNA-Pro
Source: RNAcentral
GCCCUGUUGGUCUAGUGGUAUGAUUCUCGCUUAGGGUUCACCCUACAGCUCUUGUUUGCGAGAGGUCCCGCGUUCGAUCCGCGGAUAGGGCC